This 203-nucleotide ribosomal RNA is filed under the name Escherichia coli. RNAcentral's name for it is "partial 23S ribosomal RNA". It matches the Rfam family "Bacterial large subunit ribosomal RNA", at positions 1601 to 1785 of the family's 2925-position model. The record is from RNAcentral. Lineage: Bacteria; Pseudomonadati; Pseudomonadota; Gammaproteobacteria; Enterobacterales; Enterobacteriaceae.
CCUGCUUCCAGGAAAAGCCUCUAAGCAUCAGGUAACAUCAAAUCGUACCCCAAACCGACACAGGUGGUCAGGUAGAGAAUACCAAGGCGCUUGAGAGAACUCGGGUGAAGGAACUAGGCAAAAUGGUGCCGUAACUUCGGGAGAAGGCACGCUGAUAUGUAGGUGAAGUCCCUCGCGGAUGGAGCUGAAAUCAGUCGAAGAUA